GAUGAACGCUGGCGGCGUGCUUAACACAUGCAAGUCGAACGGAAAGGCCCAAGCUUGCUGGGGUACUCGAGUGGCGAACGGGUGAGUAACACGUGGGUGAUCUGCCCUGCACUUCGGGAUAAGCUUGGGGAACUGGGUCUAAUACCGGAUAGGACCACCUUUUGGUGGGUGUGGGGGAAAGUUUUUCGGGGUGGGAUGAGCUCGCGGCCUAUCAGCUUGUUGGUGGGGUAAUGGCCUACCAAGGCGUCGACGGGUAGCCGGCCUGCGAGGGUGUACGGCCACAUUGGGACUGAGCUACGGCCCAGACUCCUACGGGAGGCAGCAGUGGGGAAUAUUGCCCAAUGGGCGCAAGCCUGAUGCAGCGCCGCCGCGUGGGGGGUGACGGGCUUCGGGUUGUACACUCCUUUCGCUAGGGACGAAGCGUUUUUGUGACGGUACCUUGAGAAGAAGCACCGGCUAACUACGUG
RNAcentral lists this ribosomal RNA (467 nucleotides) under uncultured bacterium. RNAcentral's name for it is "partial 16S ribosomal RNA". It matches the Rfam family "Bacterial small subunit ribosomal RNA", at positions 28 to 507 of the family's 1533-position model. The record is from RNAcentral.